This 78-nucleotide microRNA precursor is filed under the name Schistosoma curassoni. RNAcentral describes it as "mir-3492 microRNA precursor family". It matches the Rfam family "mir-3492 microRNA precursor family". The record is from Rfam by way of RNAcentral. Lineage: Eukaryota; Metazoa; Platyhelminthes; Trematoda; Strigeidida; Schistosomatidae.
GGCUUUUCGAAUCGGCGCAGAGGUUUUAUCAGACACCAAUCCAUUAGGGCUGAUCAGAUUUCCAAGAUAAGUGAAGUU